RNAcentral lists this ribosomal RNA (569 nucleotides) under Pseudomonas monteilii. Its description in RNAcentral is "bacterial SSU rRNA". It matches the Rfam family "Bacterial small subunit ribosomal RNA", at positions 68 to 616 of the family's 1533-position model. The record is from RNAcentral. Lineage: Bacteria; Pseudomonadati; Pseudomonadota; Gammaproteobacteria; Pseudomonadales; Pseudomonadaceae.
UAUCAUCGUCGGGUAGCCUUGCUCCCGUUAUGUUAUCGCCGGACGGGUGAGUAACACGUGGGUAACCUGCCUGUAAGACUGGGAUAACUCCUGGAAACCGGAGCUAAUACCGGAUAGUUCCUUGAACCGCACGGGUCACGGAUGAAAGACGGUUUCUGCUGUCACUUACAGAUGGACCCGCGGCGCAUUAACUAGUUGGUGAGGUAACGGCUCACCAAGGGGACCAUUCGUAACCCAACUGAAAGGGUGAUCGGCCCCACUGGGACUGAAACCCGGCCCAAACUCCUACCGGAGGCAGCAAUAAGGAAUCUUCCGCAAUGGACGAAAGGCUGACGGAACAACGGCCCGUGAGUGAUGAAGGUUUUCGGAUCGAAAAGCUCUGUUGAUAAGGAAAAACAAGUGCAAGAGUAACUGGUUGCACCUUGACGGUACCUAACCANAAAGCCACCGCUAACUACGUGCCAGCAGCCGCGGUAAUACGGAAGUGGCAAGCGUUGAUCGGAAUUAUUGGGCGUAAAGGGGUCGCAGGGGGUUUCUUAAGUCUGAUGUGAAAACCCCCGGUCAACCGG